RNAcentral lists this non-coding RNA (30 nucleotides) under Homo sapiens (human). The record is from RNAcentral. Lineage: Eukaryota; Metazoa; Chordata; Mammalia; Primates; Hominidae.
UGCCAAGGACAGCCCGAUGGGUGCGCCAGC